GAUGAACGCUGGCGGCGUGCCUAAUACAUGCCAGUCGAGCGAACAGACGAGGAGCUUGCUCCUUUGACGUUAGCGGCGGACGGGUGAGUAACACGUAGGUAACCUACCUAUAAGACUGGGAUAACUUCGGGAAACCGGAGCUAAUACCGGAUAAUAUUUCGAACCGCAUGGUUCGAUAGUGAAAGAUGGCUUUGCUAUCACUUAUAGAUGGACCUGCGCCGUAUUAGCUAGUUGGUAAGGUAACGGCUUACCAAGGCAACGAUACGUAGCCGACCUGAGAGGGUGAUCGGCCGCACUGGAACUGAGACACGGUCCAGACUCCUACGGGAGGCAGCAGUAGGGAAUCUUCCGCAAUGGGCGAAAGCCUGACGGAGCAACGCCGCGUGAGUGAUGAAGGUCUUCGGAUCGUAAAACUCUGUUAUUAGGGAAGAACAAACGUGUAAGUAACUGUGCACGUCUUGACGGUACCUAAUCAGAAAGCCACGGCUAACUACGUG
RNAcentral lists this ribosomal RNA (497 nucleotides) under uncultured bacterium. RNAcentral describes it as "partial 16S ribosomal RNA". It matches the Rfam family "Bacterial small subunit ribosomal RNA", at positions 28 to 507 of the family's 1533-position model. The record is from RNAcentral.